UGGGGAAUAUUGCACAAUGGGCGCAAGCCUGAUGCAGCCAUGCCGCGUGUGUGAAGAAGGCCUUCGGGUUGUAAAGCACUUUCAGCGAGGAGGAAGGUGGUGAGCUUAAUACGCUCAUCAAUUGACGUUACUCGCAGAAGAAGCACCGGCUAACUCCGUGCCAGCAGCCGCGGUAAUACGGAGGGUGCAAGCGUUAAUCGGAAUUACUGGGCGUAAAGCGCACGCAGGCGGUUUGUUAAGUCAGAUGUGAAAUCCCCGGGCUCAACCUGGGAACUGCAUUUGAAACUGGCAAGCUAGAGUCUCGUAGAGGGGGGUAGAAUUCCAGGUGUAGCGGUGAAAUGCGUAGAGAUCUGGAGGAAUACCGGUGGCGAAGGCGGCCCCCCUGGACGAAGACUGACGCUCAGGUGCGAAAGCGUGGGGCAGCAAACAGGAUUAGAUACCCUGGUAGUCCACGCUGUAAACGAUGUCGACUUUGGAGGUUGUGCCCUUGAGGCGUGGCUUCCGGAGCUAACGCGUUAAA
This 520-nucleotide ribosomal RNA is filed under the name uncultured bacterium. RNAcentral describes it as "partial 16S ribosomal RNA". It matches the Rfam family "Bacterial small subunit ribosomal RNA", at positions 355 to 864 of the family's 1533-position model. The record is from RNAcentral.